AUUAGGUUGGCAGAUUAGUGCAUUUAAUUUAGAAUUAAAAUAAAAAUUUAUAUUUACUUAAUA
This 63-nucleotide transfer RNA is filed under the name Onychiurus orientalis. RNAcentral describes it as "tRNA-Leu". The record is from RNAcentral. Lineage: Eukaryota; Metazoa; Arthropoda; Collembola; Poduromorpha; Onychiuridae.